RNAcentral lists this ribosomal RNA (592 nucleotides) under uncultured bacterium. Its description in RNAcentral is "bacterial SSU rRNA". The stretch from base 1 to 521 matches the Rfam family "Bacterial small subunit ribosomal RNA", at positions 338 to 873 of the family's 1533-position model. The record is from RNAcentral.
CCUACGGGAGGCAGCAGUGGGGAAUCUUGCGCAAUGGGCGAAAGCCUGACGCAGCCACGCCGCGUGCGGGAUGAAGGCCCUAGGGUUGUAAACCGCUUUUAACAGGAACGAAAAUGACGGUACCUGUAGAAUAAGGUGCGGCCAACUACGUGCCAGCAGCCGCGGUGACACGUAGGCACCAAGCGUUGUCCGGAUUUAUUGGGCGUAAAGAGCUCGUAGGCGGUUCAGUAAGUCGGGUGUGAAAACUCUGGGCUUAACCCAGAGACGCCACUCGAUACUAUUGUGACUAGAGUUCGGUAGGGGAGCGGGGAAUUCCUAGUGUAGCGGUGAAAUGCGCGGAUAUUAGGAGGAACACCGGUGGCGAAGGCGCCGCUCUGGGCCGAUACUGACGCUGAGGAGCGAAAGCGUGGGUAGCAAACAGGACUAGAUACCCUGGUAGUCCACGCCGUAAACGGUGGGCACUAGGUGUGGGUUCCAACCAACGGAAUCCGCGCCGUCGCUAACGCAUUAAGUGCCCCGCCGUGGAGUACGGCCGCGAGUAAACUACAAGAGUAGUAGCGNGNGAGACGCGAACGACGACGACGAGGAGGAG